AGAGCGAACGCUGGCGGCAGGCCUAAUACAUGCAAGUCGAACGCACCUUCGGGUGAGUGGCGGACGGGUGAGUAACACGUGGGAACGUGCCUUUUGGUUCGGAAUAAUCCGGGGAAACCUGGCCUAAUACCGAAUGUGCCCCCUCCUUUAACCAGGGGGGUGGGAAAGAUUUAUCGCCAUUAGAGCGGCCCGCGUCUGAUUAGCUAGUUGGUGAGGUAAUGGCCCACCAAGGCUACGAUCAGUAGCUGGUCUGAGAGGAUGAUCAGCCACACUGGGACUGAGACACGGCCCAGACUCCUACGGGAGGCAGCAGUAGGGAAUCUUGCGCAAUGGGCGAAAGCCUGACGCAGCCAUGCCGCGUGAAUGAUGAAGGUCUUAGGAUUGUAAAAUUCUUUCAGCGGGGAAGAUAAUGACUGUACCCGCAGAAGAAGCUCCGGCUAACUUCGUGCCAGCAGCCGC
RNAcentral lists this ribosomal RNA (459 nucleotides) under uncultured bacterium. Its description in RNAcentral is "SSU rRNA". It matches the Rfam family "Bacterial small subunit ribosomal RNA", at positions 26 to 518 of the family's 1533-position model. The record is from RNAcentral.